CCUACGGGAGGCAGCAGUGGGGAAUAUUGGGCAAUGGGCGCAAGCCUGACCCAGCAACGCCGCGUGAAGGAAGAAGGCUUUCGGGUUGUAAACUUCUUUUGUCAGGGAAGAGUAGAAGACGGUACCUGACGAAUCAGCCACGGCUAACUACGUGCCAGCAGCCGCGGUAAUACGUAGGUGGCAAGCGUUGUCCGGAUUUACUGGGUGUAAAGGGCGGGUAGCCGGGUUGACAAGUCAGAUGUGAAAUCCUGCGGCUUAACCGCAGAACUGCAUUUGAAACUGUGGAUCUUGAGUACUGGAGAGGCAGACGGAAUUCCUAGUGUAGCGGUGAAAUGCGUAGAUAUUAGGAGGAACACCAGUGGCGAAGGCGGUCUGCUGGACAGCAACUGACGGUGAGGCGCGAAAGCGUGGGGAGCAAACAGGAUUAGAUACCCUUGUAGUC
This 442-nucleotide ribosomal RNA is filed under the name uncultured bacterium. RNAcentral's name for it is "partial 16S ribosomal RNA". It matches the Rfam family "Bacterial small subunit ribosomal RNA", at positions 338 to 795 of the family's 1533-position model. The record is from RNAcentral.